AUACGUAGGGGGCAAGCGUUGUCCGGAUUCAUUGGGCGUAAAGAGCGUGUAGGCGGCCAGGUAGGUCGGUUGUGAAAACUGGAGGCUCAACCUUCAGAGGUCGACCGAAACCAUCUGGCUAGAGUCCGGGAGAGGAGAGUGGAAUUCCUGGUGUAGCGGUGAAAUGCGCAGAUAUCAGGAAGAACACCCGUGGCGAAAGCGGCUCUCUGGAACGGUACUGACGCUGAGACGCGAAAGCGUGGGGAGCGAACAGGAUUAGAUACCCUGGUAGUCCACGCCGUAAACGAUGGGCGCUAGGUGUGGGAGGUGUCGACUCCUUCCGUGCCGAAGCUAACGCAUUAAGCGCCCCGCCUGGGGAGUACGGCCGCAAGGCUAAA
RNAcentral lists this ribosomal RNA (377 nucleotides) under uncultured bacterium. RNAcentral's name for it is "bacterial SSU rRNA". It matches the Rfam family "Bacterial small subunit ribosomal RNA", at positions 523 to 898 of the family's 1533-position model. The record is from RNAcentral.